UAGGGAAUCUUCGGCAAUGGGGGCAACCCUGACCGAGCAACGCCGCGUGAGUGAAGAAGGUUUUCGGAUCGUAAAGCUCUGUUGUAAGUCAAGAACGGGUGUGAGAGUGGAAAGUUCACACUGUGACGGUAGCUUACCAGAAAGGGACGGCUAACUACGUGCCAGCAGCCGCGGUAAUACGUAGGUCCCGAGCGUUGUCCGGAUUUAUUGGGCGUAAAGCGAGCGCAGGCGGUUUGGUAAGUCUGAAGUUAAAGGCUGUGGCUCAACCAUAGUUCGCUUUGGAAACUGUCAAACUUGAGUGCAGAAGGGGAGAGUGGAAUUCCAUGUGUAGCGGUGAAAUGCGUAGAUAUAUGGAGGAACACCGGUGGCGAAAGCGGCUCUCUGGUCUGUAACUGACGCUGAGGCUCGAAAGCGUGGGGAGCGAACAGGAUUAGAUACCCUGGUAGUCCACGCCGUAAACGAUGAGUGCUAGGUGUUGGAUCCUUUCCGGGAUUCAGUGCCGCAGCUAACGCAUUAAGCACUCCGCCUGGGGAGUACGACCGCAAGGUUGAAAC
This 554-nucleotide ribosomal RNA is filed under the name uncultured bacterium. RNAcentral's name for it is "partial 16S ribosomal RNA". It matches the Rfam family "Bacterial small subunit ribosomal RNA", at positions 355 to 900 of the family's 1533-position model. The record is from RNAcentral.